ACGGAAGGCAGCAGUGGGGAAUAUUGGACAAUGGGGGAAACCCUGAUCCAGCGACGCCGCGUGAGUGAAGAAGUAUUUCGGUAUGUAAAGCUCUAUCAGCAAGGAAGAAAAUGACGGUACUUGACUAAGAAGCCCCGGCUAACUACGUGCCAGCAGCCGCGGUAAUACGUCGGGGGCAAGCGUUAUCCGGAUUUACUGGGUGUAAAGGGAGCGUAGACGGCAUAGCAAGUCUGAAGUGAAAUGCAUGGGCUCAACCCAUGAACUGCUUUGGAAACUGUUAAGCUAGAGUGCAGGAGAGGUAAGUGGAAUUCCUAGUGUAGCGGUGAAAUGCGUAGAUAUUAGGAGGAACACCAGUGGCGAAGGCGGCUUACUGGACUGUAACUGACGUUGAGGCUCGAAAGCGUGGGGAGCAAACAGGAUUAGAUACCCUGGUA
RNAcentral lists this ribosomal RNA (434 nucleotides) under uncultured Lachnospiraceae bacterium. RNAcentral describes it as "bacterial SSU rRNA". It matches the Rfam family "Bacterial small subunit ribosomal RNA", at positions 341 to 792 of the family's 1533-position model. Lineage: Bacteria; Bacillati; Bacillota; Clostridia; Lachnospirales; Lachnospiraceae. The record is from RNAcentral.